UGACAGAGGGGGGACAAUGAACCCCGGGGUUUUUACGGGCGCCGUACAUCCCGGUGGCGAGUCAGUGGCGCGACCGGCCCUAUUCGUG
This 88-nucleotide non-coding RNA is filed under the name Clostridiales bacterium PH28_bin88. RNAcentral describes it as "c-di-GMP-II-GAG riboswitch aptamer". It matches the Rfam family "c-di-GMP-II-GAG riboswitch aptamer". Lineage: Bacteria; Bacillati; Bacillota; Clostridia; Eubacteriales. RNAcentral also lists the same sequence under 1 other name. The record is from Rfam by way of RNAcentral.